GGAAAUCUGUGGCAGAAAAUAACGCCAACUUUUGCAUGUACUACUGAGUAACUGGACUCCAAAAGUGAAACAGAGAGAGUGACAAGUAAUGAUGGACAAGAAAAGGCUCAUCCCUUAGACACAAAGCAAGCUCCAAGAUCUGCUCUUCCUACUUGUGUUAUAUUUACCUUGUCUUUCUGUACUGUGGAGACACAGGCACUCACAGGGCAUGGUGAUCCAAGCUUGCAAAUGGAAACAAGGUCUACAGCCUCGGUGAGGAAGCUGGCAUGGUGGGGUGUGUUAAGGCCC
This 288-nucleotide long non-coding RNA is filed under the name Gallus gallus (chicken). Lineage: Eukaryota; Metazoa; Chordata; Aves; Galliformes; Phasianidae. The record is from RNAcentral.